GCCUUGGGUCAGUAUAGGCAAAGUGUAUUAUUCCCAACACUUUCCAAUCUUUUUUCACAUGGUGAAUGCCUAUAGUCAAAGUGGGAAUAAUACCCAUCCCUCGUCCGUGGACCAGGGUUUAGGAUUACCAGUCCACCCAGUGAUCUGGGGCCAGGUUAAAAAAAAACAGUGACAAAAACUCAUAUUUAAGAAAAAAAGCACAUCUGGGGAAACCCUGAAUGGGGGCCACAACAGUAUAGACAUGUCAUCCCUCACGUUGACACCACCUGUGACUUCUAAU
Molecule: non-coding RNA, 280 nt
Organism: Pelobates cultripes (western spadefoot toad)
Lineage: Eukaryota; Metazoa; Chordata; Amphibia; Anura; Pelobatidae
Source: the annotation of a GenBank genome assembly